This is a long non-coding RNA of Lactuca sativa (garden lettuce), 523 nucleotides long. RefSeq lists it as uncharacterized. NCBI's taxonomy places the organism in Eukaryota, Viridiplantae, Streptophyta, Magnoliopsida, Asterales, Asteraceae. The record is from RefSeq and is a predicted model, not a curated record.
UGCUCCAAAUCCAUAAAAUAUCAAAAACUCCCUUCUUCAUGGGUUCAAAACCCUAAUCGCCAAAUUCAUGAAACUACUAUAUAAACUGAAGCUGUAAGGGUUUAUACCACAUCCAGAGAUCCACAAUAUUCCAACGAUACGAAGUCAUUCAUCUGCAUCUACAGUUCUACACUGAACACUUGACGUUAUUCUAAAAGCAAUGACAUCAAAAAAACAAACAGAUUUCAGUAUAGCAAUGACAUCAAGCAAAUUUUCAAGAAGAGAGUCGGUUCUCUAGAACGGCGGAUUAUGUGCAUAUUUUGUCUUUUGGUUGGUUAAAGCGUGAAGAUAGUUUUAAUUUGUUAAGUUGGUUUGAUUGGUGCAUUUCUCCUAAUAUUGUUUAUACUUUGUAAUGGUUUCUAACGCCUUGCUAGCUCGUUAAUAAUAUCUCUGUUGUUCAAAAAAAAAGCUAGAAGGCUUUAAUUAGAAAACAAAUAUUUAAGAUGAUUGUUAAUAAUUAUUAAUAAUUGGAACAAUUGUAAUA